AGAACGAACGCUGGCGGCAGGCUUAACACAUGCAAGUCGAACGCCCCGCAAGGGGGAGUGGCAGACGGGUGAGUAACGCGUGGGAAUCUACCCAGUUCUACGGAAUAACACAGGGAAACUUGUGCUAAUACCGUAUACGCCCUACGGGGGAAAGAUUUAUCGGGAUUGGAUGAGCCCGCGUUGGAUUAGCUAGUUGGUGGGGUAAUGGCCUACCAAGGCGACGAUCCAUAGCUGGUCUGAGAGGAUGAUCAGCCACACUGGGACUGAGACACGGCCCAGACUCCUACGGGAGGCAGCAGUGGGGAAUAUUGGACAAUGGGCGCAAGCCUGAUCCAGCCAUGCCGCGUGAGUGAUGAAGGCCUUAGGGUUGUAAAGCUCUUUCAGUGGGGAAGAUAAUGACGGUACCCACAGAAGAAGCCCCGGCUAACUUCGCGCCAGCAGCCGC
This 445-nucleotide ribosomal RNA is filed under the name uncultured bacterium. RNAcentral's name for it is "SSU rRNA". It matches the Rfam family "Bacterial small subunit ribosomal RNA", at positions 26 to 518 of the family's 1533-position model. The record is from RNAcentral.